Molecule: ribosomal RNA, 253 nt
Filed under: uncultured bacterium
Lineage: Bacteria
Description: partial 16S ribosomal RNA
Rfam family: Bacterial small subunit ribosomal RNA
Source: RNAcentral
UACGUAGGUGGCAAGCGUUGUCCGGAUUUACUGGGCGUAAAGAGCGCGCAGGCGGUCGUUCAAGUCGAGUGUGAAAGCCCCCGGCUCAACUGGGGAGGGUCACUCGAUACUGAUCGACUCGAAGGCAGAAGAGGGAAGCGGAAUUCCCGGUGUAGUGGUGAAAUGCGUAGAUAUCGGGAGGAACACCAGUGGCGAAGGCGGUUGCCUGGAGCUUUGCUGACGCUGAGGCGCGAAAGCGUGGGGAGCGAUCCGG